CCUACGGGAGGCAGCAGUGGGGAAUCUUCCGCAAUGGGCGCAAGCCUGACGGAGCAACGCCGCGUGAGUGAAGAAGGUCUUCGGAUCGUAAAGCUCUGUUGAUGGGGACGAACGUGCCUAAUGCGAAUAGUAUUAGGCAAUGACGGUACCCAUCGAGGAAGCCACGGCUAACUACGUGCCAGCAGCCGCGGUAAUACGUAGGUGGCGAGCGUUGUCCGGAAUCAUUGGGCGUAAAGGGAGCACAGGCGGGCAUGUAAGUCUUUCUUAAAAGUGCGGGGCUCAACCCCGUGAUGGGAAAGAAACUAUAUGUCUUGAGUACAGGAGAUGAAAGCGGAAUUCCCAGUGUAGCGGUGAAAUGCGUAGAUAUUGGGAGGAACACCAGUGGCGAAGGCGGCUUUCUGGACUGCAACUGACGCUGAGGCUCGAAAGCCAGGGGAGCGAACGGGAUUAGAUACCCUUGUAGUC
RNAcentral lists this ribosomal RNA (465 nucleotides) under uncultured Selenomonas sp. RNAcentral's name for it is "bacterial SSU rRNA". It matches the Rfam family "Bacterial small subunit ribosomal RNA", at positions 338 to 795 of the family's 1533-position model. The record is from RNAcentral. Lineage: Bacteria; Bacillati; Bacillota; Negativicutes; Selenomonadales; Selenomonadaceae.